This is a long non-coding RNA of Paramisgurnus dabryanus, 3083 nucleotides long. RefSeq lists it as uncharacterized. The record is from RefSeq and is a predicted model, not a curated record. NCBI's taxonomy places the organism in Eukaryota, Metazoa, Chordata, Actinopteri, Cypriniformes, Cobitidae.
AAACAGAAAUGUAGAAUGACAGUCGCUCAAUCUGUUGCAAGCAAUGACUUUCAAACAGCAAGUGCUAAAGAAGCCAAACACGCAGAAUUACAAGUCCAACGCUGAAACUGCUGGAAAAGAACAGUGAAAAAGAUACAGGUCUUCAUUCUUGAUGGGAUUCAGAAACUGAACUACUGUGUCUUCACAGACAAAUAAUCCAAAAUCAGCCUAAGAGUGUGGAGUAAACAGCAUCAAGCCUCUCUUUAAUAGGGAACUCAUCUAUAAAAACAAACACUUGUUAUACUUUUAUGAAUUAUCAAGUUGUACAACACACAGCAAUAAGGAUUUAGACAAACAAUCACAGAUUUUAUUAAUUUUAUUGUUGUGUCUAAUAUAUAUAUAGAAACAACUUGUGUUGUAAAAGAAAGGAUGACAGCAUAUCUCUUUAUCACGUGCCAGUAUAGGCCCUGACUGCACGUGAGAACAUUUGAAUUAUCUGGCACGAGGCCUCACACGUCAUACUUCAACUGACACAACGGUCUCGAUGGUAGGAAUAAGCAAAAGCUCCUUUAAAUUUCGUCAUUUUUUUUAUACACAUCCCGUUUAUUUUGUAGUUAAUUGUUAGAUAAGUUAGUAAUUUCGUAAAUUUUUCGUUACAGGGUAAGAUUUCGUUACCAUAUACAGUAAAUAUUGGUUCAAGAGGGCAGUUUGAUAACUCAGUCGAGGUUUGUAAAUGGUAAAUAACUUAUUCGAGGUUUGUAGCCAUAUUUAAGUAACUCGCUUACUUUGUUUCAGUGUUUGAGUAAAUGUAUAAUGUUAUUAAGUAAUAAUUAAUAUAAGUUACUGCGCGAGCUCAUUACGGCCGUUUCUCAAUCCGAAGGCUACUGGAGGUGGCAUAUGUAGGCUGUAUACGUCAUCAAGACUGUCAGAUUUAAGAAUAUUAACAAUUCUAAAGUUGACUAUUAUUCUUAGUUAAUCGUAAAUUGUUGUAAUAUGCGUAUGACUUGCGAAUGUAAUGCUCAUUUAACUUAAAUAAACCAGGCUUGAUGACGUAUGCAGCCUGCAUAUGCGACCUCCGCAGGAUGCAGCCUUCCGUUUCAGAAAUGGCCUACAAGUGUGAGCGUGCGCGAGAUUCUGUCUGAAUUGAUUCUUUAGUAAUGGCAAAGCAAAAAUUUACUGUCGUGGUGAUUAAACGCAUUUUAAAGUUUAAAUUAAAACGCCUAACUUACCUUUCCAGGGGUUUCUGUUCCUGCAGUCUUUCAGGGGUGCUGGCGCGUAUGACGAUGCGGACAUGAACAGCAUACUACAGUAUACCGCCACCUACUGUACUGUAGUACAAUAACGUGUAGGAUUGAAUACUGUGCCAAACGCAGUAAAAAAAAAAAAGCCAUUUAAUUCAUUGUAAAAACAAUGGACAUGCCAGUUCAAGUAACUUGUGGGCUAAAUCACCAAAAUAAGUUUGUAGAUGUGGUUCAAUUAUUUUUAAUGUGCAGCAUAAUGAAUCAGCCUGAAUGCAUGUAGCCUGUGAACAUAUUGUUUAGACUUUAUUUUUAAACCUUUAUCUGGUGUAUGGUUAAACCUUAUGAUGGUAGCAAUUGAAUACAAAUCUUAAACUGAAUCAAAUCUCUUAUAAUAAUACAUAAAAUCUCUGGGACGGUUGGGGGUACAUCAGGGUAACAUUUAAGCAGCUUAAUUUUUUUAAUUCUUUUAUAUAUUUUGAUGUGUAUAUAUAUAUAUUUACUUUCUUUAUUUUGUUUUCUCAGCUUUUAAACAUCUAAACAUGUCCUCCAAAAAGGUUUCCUGUGCUGUUUUGCUCCAUUUUACUGAACAAAAUAAGGCUGAGGUAGCACCAUCCUUGUGGUUAGAGUGAAAGAAUGUGGGUAUUGAGACCAAAAUAAACAAUGUGCCAUUCUGGACAAACAGCUGUGGACAAUAUGCAGUCAGAGUAGCCCAUUUUCUCACACAGACCUGAGGAUAAGAUUUCCAGUUUGAAAGUGAAGAAAAUGAAUCAUUGUUAACAGCAAAUAGGAGUAUUUCUCAGCUGAAAAGCCAGGUGAAACUAUAAGGUCACUAUGAUUCACUUUCAUAUUAUCAUUCUUUUCAGAUUUUUUUCCCUGUGUUUUUUUUGUUAGAUGAGGAGCAACCAGUAAGAAAAAGCAAAAAGAUGUUUUGAUGUUGCCUGAGGCACCUUAUUUUCCAUUUCAUGCACAAUCACAAAUGCAGCACAUCAAUCAAUUUCUUCCAACCAGCGAAUCAAGAAAUCUUGGAGUGGAGAAUCAUUUUGAAAGUAGACCAAAUCCAGGACAACAUCACAACAGUGGUCGGAAAAAUGCAGCAAGCCAAGCUGACUUUCAAAAGAUGAUUCGUUAUCUGUUUCUUCAGAGGGGAGGCAGUUUGGGAGAUGGGAAUUAGGAGGAUGCUACAGUUACACAGGGCAAAUUUCAGCAGCUCAGUUUCAAACUUGCAACUAACAUUGAGUUAAAGUUAGAAGACCACGGAAAUAUUUGACAUCGGAGUCCAGCAGACAGCCAGAGACACGCAGACACACGCAGCUGAAGCGCGUUUGACUGACGCGUACGGGAGAUCCGGCACGCGCACGGGAGCUCGCGCACGAGAGCUCGCGCACGCUCACACAAACACGGAGCACAGGAUAAUUACAACUGUUUAAUUAAAAUAAAAGAACUUUGUGGUAUACAAUGUUUAGCGUGUCUGAUUUCAUUGGUUAGCAAGGAAAUAAAACGACGUGCUGAGGACUUUAGGCGAACGUCCCCUAAAAGUCCCGAAAGUCCGCUGACCGUCCCGCGAACGUCCUCGCAAAAGUCCGGAGGACGUCCUCGCGGAAGUCCGCUCGACGUAACGGGAACCAUACACGAUGACGUUCGGGGGACGUUCGCCUAAAGUGCUUAGCAUGUUAUUUAGCUUACAAAAAAGGUCCCCAUGACGUCCCCUAAAAGUCAAUAAAGUCCCCAAAGCGUCAUUUUGAACGUCCGGAAGACGUUUUUGCGGACGUUCGCAGGACGUCAAAAGAACCCUACACGAUAACGUCCGGGGGACGUUCGCAGAUGCCAUUUAGGGGACGUCCUGGGGACCUUUUUUUGUUUGCU